GAAAUGCGAUAAGUAAUGUGAAUUGCAGAAUUCAGUGAAUCAUCGAAUCUUUGAACGCACCUUGCGCUCCUUGGUAUUCCGAGGAGCAUGCCUGUUUGAGUGUCAUGGAAUUCUCAACUCUAUUUGCUUUUGUGAAUAGAGCUUGGAUUUGGAGGUUUAUUGCUGGUACUUGUGAUCGGCUCCUCUUGAAUGCAUUAGCUCGAACCUUUGCGGAUCAGCUAUCGGUGUGAUAAUUGUCUACGCCGUUGCAGUGAAGCAUAUCAAUGGGCUCGGCUUCCGAUCGUCCUUUACUGGACAAUGACUUUGACCUUUGACCUCAAAUCAGGUAGGAUUACCCGCUGAACUUAAGC
RNAcentral lists this unclassified non-coding RNA (350 nucleotides) under plant metagenome. RNAcentral's name for it is "partial contains 5.8S ribosomal RNA, internal transcribed spacer 2, and large subunit ribosomal RNA". The stretch from base 1 to 105 matches the Rfam family "5.8S ribosomal RNA", at positions 50 to 154 of the family's 154-position model. The record is from RNAcentral.